Long non-coding RNA from Rosa chinensis, 1034 nucleotides. RefSeq lists it as uncharacterized. The transcript is spliced from 3 exons. NCBI's taxonomy places the organism in Eukaryota, Viridiplantae, Streptophyta, Magnoliopsida, Rosales, Rosaceae. The record is from RefSeq and is a predicted model, not a curated record.
CCCGCUCCCUCAGUUUGAGCUAAACAAAGUGGUGGAGAAAAGAAAAAGGAGAGUCGGUCUCAGAGGUCUUCCCCAUUUCUGUCUCUCUUAGACAAAAUCCAAUUUCUGAUCUGCGAGAUUCAAGCAGAGUAAUAAUGCUUGGGCGUGGAAAUGGAGGCAAGGGUUUGGGUAAGGAAGGAGCAAAACGACAUUGUAAGGUCUUCCGCGACAGCAUCCAGGGCAUCAAGCCGGCGACGGCUCGGUUCUCAAGGUCGGCGAGGAGAAGGAGAUCGGAAAGCAAGGCUUGAAGAAGCAACUUCUCAAGGAAGGUGAAAGCUGGGAUAUACCCCGAAGUGCGGUGAUGAGCUUGACUAUAUUCACACUUUUGGAUUGGGAUCGAUUGCGAUUAUGUUUGAAUUCAGUCCAUUACACCGGGAUUUUGCUUGGCGAUAGGGGGACAUCGAUCAGUUCACUCGGAAUUUUUGGCCUUUCACUUGUAUUAAUGACUUGAUUAAGUUGUGAGCUGAUUCAGAAGAACGGAAAGAGAUGAAGAAGAAAGCUCUGGAAUGGAAGAGGCUGGCAAUGGAACCAGGUUUUGAAGGUUAAUUACUUUCACUUCAAUUUCUUUUGGCUUUUAAAGGAGAACUGAAACUUUGUUAUCCCUUGUUUGAACUUGUUGAUUUAGUUAUAUUAUUCAGUAUCAAAUUGUUAUGCACCCAGUUACUAAAGUAUUUGGGUAACAAGACAUCACGGGAAUGGAGACGGGAGUGUUCAGGUGGUGACUUCCACCAAGGAGGUGCAUAUUGCGUGUAAAGAACUAUAGAUGCAGUUGAAAUGAGAUUGUUUCUGGUUAUCAGAAUGAGACCAAAGAGGCUAUUUUCGGUUACCAGAUGGAGUAUGAAAGGAACUGACUUGUGAGAAUAGUCUGGACUGUGAAGUAGAGUCUUUAAGUAUUUAGAUCCGGUUGUUUGUAUUGUGAAUGUUUCUGUAAUAUCUUCUCAUCCCAAGGGAUAAGUGCAAAUACUAUAGGCAUUCAAUAGUUUUUUGUUUGUAUA